UUCCCAGUGGGAAGGCUGUGGGACGCAAGAACAGUUCUUCCCGCCCCCUAAAGCCGAUGGCUUCCAGUCCCCUGAGGAGCAAUCCCUUUUCGAGGCUCCUUAGACCAGAUGAGCAACGUCUCCCCAGCUUUGGACGCCGCGGCAGGAGGAGCCGUGUUAUUGGUCAGAAGGCCGGGCGGGACGGCAGACGAGGCUGCUCGCUGGGAACAACUAUUUAGCCGUCCUGACGCAAGUCAUCCACCUUUUCCGAACUUUAAUCUCCCACCUCUUAAGUCUUAGGAGCAUGAAUCGGCACGCCCAGGCUUGCUAAGAUGACCCAAAUGCAAAUGAGAGCCUGACCAAAACAUUUUUAAACUCUGUAUACGGAGUUAUUUUGAAAUCAGGACCAGAGCUAACUCUGCAGGAAGAAGGAAAAAACUUGAAAAAGAGCAUGUCCACAAAACAUCCCGUGACCUACAGAAGAGAAAACAGACCAUCAAGCUAGAAGGAGAAAAGACUGAUUGAGGGGAAGAUCAGAGUGGAUGAGAGAAUCCACUAUCCUCCAUGGAGACAGACACCGUCAAGGACAAGCACCUGGAUCA
Molecule: long non-coding RNA, 581 nt
Organism: Equus quagga
Lineage: Eukaryota; Metazoa; Chordata; Mammalia; Perissodactyla; Equidae
Exons: 3
Source: RefSeq, a predicted model, not a curated record